RNAcentral lists this ribosomal RNA (419 nucleotides) under uncultured Cylindrotheca. RNAcentral describes it as "SSU rRNA". It matches the Rfam family "Eukaryotic small subunit ribosomal RNA", at positions 567 to 990 of the family's 1831-position model. The record is from RNAcentral. Lineage: Eukaryota; Bacillariophyta; Bacillariophyceae; Bacillariales; Bacillariaceae.
CCAGCAGCUGCGGUAAUUCCAGCUCCAAUAGCGUAUAUUAAAGUUGUUGCAGUUAAAAAGCUCGUAGUUGGAUUUGUGGUGUACUUCGGCGGCCCGUCACUCUGUGAUGGAGCUUGCUGAAGUCGCCAUCCUUGGGUGGAUCCUGUGUGGCAUUAAGUUGUCGUGCAGGGGAUGCCCAUCGUUUACUGUGAAAAAAUUAGAGUGUUCAAAGCAGGCUUAUGCCGUUGAAUAUAUUAGCAUGGAAUAAUAAGAUAGGACCUUGGUACUAUUUUGUUGGUUUGCGCACCAAGGUAAUGAUUAAUAGGGACAGUUGGGGGUAUUCGUAUUUCAUUGUCAGAGGUGAAAUUCUUGGAUUUUUGAAAGACGAACUACUGCGAAAGCAUUUACCAAGGAUGUUUUCAUUAAUCAAGAACGAAAGU